UACAGAGGUCCCGAGCGUUGUUCGGAUUCAUUGGGCGUAAAGGGUGUGUAGGCGGCGGGGCAAGUCUGAUGUGAAAUCCCGGGGCUCAACCCCGGAACUGCAUUGGAUACUGCCUUGCUAGAGUACUGGAGAGGGAACUGGAAUUUACGGUGUAGCAGUGAAAUGCGUAGAGAUCGUAAGGAAGGCCAGUGGCGAAGGCGAGUUCCUGGACAGUGACUGACGCUGAGGCACGAAGGCCAGGGGAGCAAACGGG
RNAcentral lists this ribosomal RNA (253 nucleotides) under uncultured bacterium. Its description in RNAcentral is "partial 16S ribosomal RNA". It matches the Rfam family "Bacterial small subunit ribosomal RNA", at positions 524 to 776 of the family's 1533-position model. The record is from RNAcentral.